AAUGAACGUUGGCGGCGUGGAUUAGGCAUGCAAGUCGCGCGAUAAAUGUAGCAAUACAUGGAAAGCGGCGAAAGGGACAGUAACGUGUGGGAACCUACCUCGGGGGCUGGGAUAGCGGCGGGCAACGGCCGGUAGUACCAAAUGACAUCCCCGGAUCAAAGGCGUGAGUGCGCCCUCAGAUGGGCCCACAUGCUAUUAGUUAGUUGGGGGGGUAAUGGCCCACCAAGACUAAGAUGGCUAGCGGGUGUGAGAGCACGACCCGCGUCACGGGGACGGAGACACUGCCCAGACACCUACGGGUGGCUGCAGUCGAGAAUCUGCGGCAAUGGGCGCAAGCCUGACCGAGCGACGCCGCGUGCGGGAUGAAGGCCCUCGGGUUGUAAACCGCUGUCGAGGGGGAUGAAAUUCCGGUGGGUACUCCCAUCGGAUUGACAGAUCCCUGGAGGAAGGGUGGGCUAAGUUCGUGCCAGCAGCCGCGGUAA
Molecule: ribosomal RNA, 482 nt
Filed under: uncultured bacterium
Lineage: Bacteria
Description: partial 16S ribosomal RNA
Rfam family: Bacterial small subunit ribosomal RNA
Source: RNAcentral